Molecule: ribosomal RNA, 497 nt
Filed under: uncultured bacterium
Lineage: Bacteria
Description: partial 16S ribosomal RNA
Rfam family: Bacterial small subunit ribosomal RNA
Source: RNAcentral
GAUGAACGCUGGCGGCGUGCCUAAUACAUGCAAGUCGAGCGAACAGACGCGGAGCUUGCUCCUUUGACGUUAGCGGCGGACGGGUGAGUAACACGUGGAUAACCUACCUAUAAGACUGGGAUAACUUCGGGAAACCGGAGCUAAUACCGGAUAACAUGCUGAACCGCAUGGUUCAACAGUGAAAGACGGUCUUGCUGUCACUUAUAGAUGGAUCCGCGCCGCAUUAGCUAGUUGGUAAGGUAACGGCUUAUCAAGGCAACGAUGCGUAGCCGACCUGAGAGGGUGAUCGGCCACACUGGAACUGAGACACGGUCCAGGCUCCUACGGGAGGCAGCAGUAGGGAAUCUUCCGCAAUGGUCGAAAGCCUGACGGAGCAACGCCGCGUGAGUGAAGAAGGUCUUCGGAUCGUAAAACUCUGUUAUUAGGGAAGAACAAAUGUGUAAGUAACUAUGCACGUCUUGACGGUACCUAAUCAGAAAGCCACGGCUAACUACGUG